UUCCCGAUGCCUCCUAUUCCUA
Molecule: microRNA, 22 nt
Filed under: Oryza sativa (Asian cultivated rice)
Lineage: Eukaryota; Viridiplantae; Streptophyta; Magnoliopsida; Poales; Poaceae
Description: osa-miR2118q
Source: miRBase by way of RNAcentral